This 685-nucleotide ribosomal RNA is filed under the name Astrothelium crassum. Its description in RNAcentral is "mitochondrial SSU rRNA". It matches the Rfam family "Bacterial small subunit ribosomal RNA", at positions 380 to 1108 of the family's 1533-position model. Lineage: Eukaryota; Fungi; Ascomycota; Dothideomycetes; Trypetheliales; Trypetheliaceae. The record is from RNAcentral.
AGCAACUUGGGAGAAUGCUUCUUACUUUAAAUAAAAGUAAGUAUUCAUAAAAUUUGAAUAUAGUUCUAGAUAAAAAUUUGAUAAUGACAAAGUUUUAUCUAUUUGUCUUGACCAAAUCUUGUGCCAGCAGUCGCGGCAACACAAGGAAGACAAGUGUUAUUCAUCUUAAAUAGGUUUAAGGGGUACCUAGACGGUAAAUUAGGCCAUAGUAGGUACGUUUUUACUAGAGUUAAACAUGCAUGGGGAUUGUGUCAGUAUUACCAGAGUAGAGAUGAAAUUUUUUGAUACUGUUAAGACUGGUAAAGGCGAAAGCAAACCUUUAUGUAUUAACUGACGUUGAGGGACGAAGGCUUGGGGAGCAAACAGGAUUAGAUACCCUAAUAGUCCAGGCAGAGAAUUAUGAAUGUCAUAGGUUAUACAUAUUGUAGUCUAUAAAUGAAAGUGUAAGCAUUCCACCUCAAGAGUAAUGUGGCAACGCAGGAACUGAAAUCAUUAGACCGUUUCUGAUACCAGUAGUGAAGUAUGUUGUUUAAUUUGUCGGUCCACAAAGAACCUUACCACAAUUUGAAUACAUUUAAUAUAUAAAUUUUUUGUUUAUAUUUUUAUUUCUACAAGCGUUGCAUUGUUGUCUUCAGUUAAUGUUGUGAGACUUUGGUUAGAUUCAUAAAAUUAACGUAAUCCUAUA